AUUGAACGCUGGCGGCAGGCCUAACACAUGCGAGUCGAACGGUAACAGGAAGACGCUUGCUUCUUUGCUGACGAGUGGCGGACGGGUGAGUAAUGUCUGGGAAACUGCCUGAUGGAGGGGGAUAACUACUGGAAACGGUAGCUAAUACCGCAUAACGUCGCAAGACCAAAAAGGGGGACCUUCGGGCCUCUUGCCAUCGGAUGUGCCCAGAUGGGAUUAGCUAGUAGGUGGGGUAACGGCUCACCUAGGCGACGAUCCCUAGCUGGUCUGAGAGGAUGACCAGCCACACUGGAACUGAGACACGGUCCAGACUCCUACGGGAGGCAGCAGUGGGGAAUAUUGCACAAUGGGCGCAAGCCUGAUGCAGCCAUGCCGCGUGUAUGAAGAAGGCCUUCGGGUUGUAAAGUACUUUCAGCGGGGAGGAAGGGAGUAAAGUUAAUACCUUUGCUCAUUGACGUUACCCGCAGAAGAAGCACCGGCUAACUCCGUG
RNAcentral lists this ribosomal RNA (490 nucleotides) under uncultured bacterium. RNAcentral describes it as "partial 16S ribosomal RNA". It matches the Rfam family "Bacterial small subunit ribosomal RNA", at positions 30 to 507 of the family's 1533-position model. The record is from RNAcentral.